Phrynosoma platyrhinos (Desert horned lizard) is the source of this 72-nucleotide non-coding RNA. NCBI's taxonomy places the organism in Eukaryota, Metazoa, Chordata, Lepidosauria, Squamata, Phrynosomatidae. The record is from the annotation of a GenBank genome assembly.
GUCAGCAUGGUAUAGUGGUUUGAGCAUUGGACUAGGACUCUGGAAACCAGGAUUCAAAUCCCUGUUAAGCCA